RNAcentral lists this transfer RNA (86 nucleotides) under bacterium. Its description in RNAcentral is "tRNA-Leu". It matches the Rfam family "tRNA". Rfam says of the family: Transfer RNA (tRNA) molecules are approximately 80 nucleotides in length. The record is from RNAcentral.
GGGCGAGUGGCGUAAUUGGUAGCCGCACUGGAUUUAGGUUCCAGCGUUUAAUAGACGUGAGAGUUCGAGUCUCUCCUCGCCCACCA